This 254-nucleotide ribosomal RNA is filed under the name uncultured bacterium. RNAcentral's name for it is "partial small subunit ribosomal RNA". It matches the Rfam family "Bacterial small subunit ribosomal RNA", at positions 27 to 281 of the family's 1533-position model. The record is from RNAcentral.
GGGAUGAACGCUAGCGGCAGGCCUAAUACAUGCAAGUCGAACGGGGUGUUGCAGCAAUGUAGCACUUAGUGGCGCACGGGUGCGUAACGCGUAUGCAACCUACCCCUUACUGGGGCAUAGCCUUCCGAAAGGGAGAUUAACACCGCAUAAGAUAGCCGGAUGGCAUCAUCUGGUUAUUAAAUCUACGGAGGUAAGGGAUGGGCAUGCGUCAGAUUAGCUAGUUGGCGGGGUAGUGGCCCACCAAGGCCACGAUC